Molecule: ribosomal RNA, 944 nt
Filed under: Janibacter sp. NCCP-765
Lineage: Bacteria; Bacillati; Actinomycetota; Actinomycetes; Micrococcales; Intrasporangiaceae
Description: bacterial SSU rRNA
Rfam family: Bacterial small subunit ribosomal RNA
Source: RNAcentral
AACACGUGAGUAACCUGCCCCGGACUCUGGAAUAAGCGCUGGAAACGGCGUCUAAUACCGGAUACGAGACGCAACCGCAUGGUUAGUGUCUGGAAAGUUUUUCGGUCUGGGAUGGACUCGCGGCCUAUCAGCUUGUUGGUGAGGUAAUGGCUCACCAAGGCGACGACGGGUAGCCGGCCUGAGAGGGCGACCGGCCACACUGGGACUGAGACACGGUCCAGACUCCUACGGGAGGCAGCAGUGGGGAAUAUUGCACAAUGGGCGAAAGCCUGAUGCAGCGACGCCGCGUGAGGGAUGACGGCCUUCGGGUUGUAAACCUCUUUCAGCAGGGAAGAAGCGAAAGUGACGGUACCUGCAGAAGAAGCACCGGCUAACUACGUGCCAGCAGCCGCGGUAAUACGUAGGGUGCGAGCGUUGUCCGGAAUUAUUGGGCGUAAAGAGCUUGUAGGCGGUUUGUCGCGUCUGCUGUGAAAAUCCGGGGCUCAACCCCGGACUUGCAGUGGGUACGGGCAGACUAGAGUGUGGUAGGGGAGACUGGAAUUCCUGGUGUAGCGGUGAAAUGCGCAGAUAUCAGGAGGAACACCGAUGGCGAAGGCAGGUCUCUGGGCCACCACUGACGCUGAGAAGCGAAAGCAUGGGGAGCGAACAGGAUUAGAUACCCUGGUAGUCCAUGCCGUAAACGUUGGGCGCUAGGUGUGGGACUCAUUCCACGAGUUCCGUGCCGCAGCUAACGCAUUAAGCGCCCCCGCCUGGGGGAGUACGGCCGCAAGGGCUAAAACUCAAAGGGAAUUGACGGGGGGCCCGCACAAGCGGCGGGAGCAUGCGGGAUUAAUUUCGAUGCAACGCGAAAGAACCUUACCAAGGGUUUGACAUAUACCGGAAAACACCCAGAAGAUGGGGUGCCCCUUUUUGGUCGGGUAUACAGGGUGGGUGCAUGGGUUGUC